UACGUAGGGUGCAAGCGUUAAUCGGAAUUACUGGGCGUAAAGCGUGCGCAGGCGGUUCGCUAAGACAGAUGUGAAAUCCCCGGGCUUAACCUGGGAACUGCAUUUGUGACUGGCGGGCUAGAGUAUGGCAGAGGGGGGUAGAAUUCCACGUGUAGCAGUGAAAUGCGUAGAGAUGUGGAGGAAUACCGAUGGCGAAGGCAGCCCCCUGGGCCAAUACUGACGCUCAUGCACGAAAGCGUGGGGAG
This 245-nucleotide ribosomal RNA is filed under the name uncultured Burkholderia sp. RNAcentral's name for it is "partial 16S ribosomal RNA". It matches the Rfam family "Bacterial small subunit ribosomal RNA", at positions 524 to 768 of the family's 1533-position model. Lineage: Bacteria; Pseudomonadati; Pseudomonadota; Betaproteobacteria; Burkholderiales; Burkholderiaceae. The record is from RNAcentral.